UACAGAGGUCUCAAGCGUUGUUCGGAUUCAUUGGGCGUAAAGGGCGCGUAGGCUGCGGGGCAAGUCGGGUGUGAAAUCUCAGAGCUCAACUCUGAAACUGCACUCGAUACUGCUUUGCUCGAGGACUGGAGAGGAGAUUGGAAUUCACGGUGUAGCAGUGAAAUGCGUAGAUAUCGUGAGGAAGACCAGUGGCGAAGGCGGAUCUCUGGACAGUUCCUGGCGCUGAGGCGCGAAGGCCAGGGGAGCAAACGGG
This 253-nucleotide ribosomal RNA is filed under the name uncultured bacterium. RNAcentral describes it as "partial 16S ribosomal RNA". It matches the Rfam family "Bacterial small subunit ribosomal RNA", at positions 524 to 776 of the family's 1533-position model. The record is from RNAcentral.